UACGUAGGGGGCAAGCGUUGUCCGGAUUUAUUGGGCGUAAAGAGCGUGUAGGCGGCUUUACAGGUCCGUUGUGAAAACUCGAGGCUCAACCUCGAGACGCCGGUGGAAACCGUAAGGCUAGAGUCCGGAAGAGGAGAGUGGAAUUCCUGGUGUAGCGGUGAAAUGCGCAGAUAUCAGGAGGAACACCCGUGGCGAAAGCGGCUCACUGGACCACAACUGACGCUGAUGCACGAAAGCUAGGGGAGCAAACAGG
RNAcentral lists this ribosomal RNA (253 nucleotides) under uncultured bacterium. RNAcentral describes it as "partial 16S ribosomal RNA". It matches the Rfam family "Bacterial small subunit ribosomal RNA", at positions 524 to 776 of the family's 1533-position model. The record is from RNAcentral.